This 253-nucleotide ribosomal RNA is filed under the name uncultured bacterium. RNAcentral's name for it is "partial 16S ribosomal RNA". It matches the Rfam family "Bacterial small subunit ribosomal RNA", at positions 524 to 776 of the family's 1533-position model. The record is from RNAcentral.
GACGUAGGAGGCGAGCGUUAUCCGGAUUCACUGGGCGUAAAGCGCAUGUAGGCGGAUGUCUAAGUCGUGUGUUAAAGCCCCUGGCUCAACUGGGGAGGGUCACGCGAUACUGUUCGACUCGAAGGCAGGAGAGGGAAGCAGAAUUCCCGGUGUAGUGGUGAAAUGCGUAGAUAUCGGGAGGAAUACCAGUGGCGAAGGCGGCUUCCUGGCCUGUUCUUGACGCUGAGGCGCGAAAGCUAGGGUAGCAAACGGG